GACGGAGGGUGCAAGCGUUGUUCGGAUUGACUGGGCGUAAAGAGCUCGUAGGCGGUUUGUCGCGUCGAAUGUGAAAACCCGGGGCUCAACCCCGGGCCUGCAUUCGAUACGGGCAGACUAGAGUUCGGUAGGGGAGUCUGGAAUUCCUGGUGUAGCGGUGAAAUGCGCAGAUAUCAGGAGGAACACCGGUGGCGAAGGCGGGACUCUGGGCCGAUACUGACGCUGAGGAGCGAAAGCGUGGGGAGCAAACAGG
This 253-nucleotide ribosomal RNA is filed under the name uncultured bacterium. RNAcentral describes it as "partial 16S ribosomal RNA". It matches the Rfam family "Bacterial small subunit ribosomal RNA", at positions 524 to 776 of the family's 1533-position model. The record is from RNAcentral.